RNAcentral lists this RNase P RNA (379 nucleotides) under Terriglobia bacterium. Its description in RNAcentral is "RNase P RNA component class A". It matches the Rfam family "Bacterial RNase P class A". Rfam says of the family: Ribonuclease P (RNase P) is a ubiquitous endoribonuclease, found in archaea, bacteria and eukarya as well as chloroplasts and mitochondria. Lineage: Bacteria; Pseudomonadati; Acidobacteriota; Terriglobia. The record is from RNAcentral.
UGGAGGCGGCAGGCGCUCGCGGCCCGCUCCGGCGGGCCGAGGAAAGUCCGAACUCCUGAUGGGAGCACGCUGGGUAACCCCCAGCCGCGGCAACGCGAGGGAAAGUGCCACAGAAAAGACACCGCCCCGCCUCGGGCGGGGUAAGGGUGAAAAGGUGGGGUAAGAGCCCACCGCCCGGCCGGCGACGGCCGGGGCACGGCAAACCCCGUGCGGAGCAAGGCCAAAUAGGGGGAUCGACGGGGCCCAUCACCGGAUCCGUCGAAAGGCGGGCGAUCCCCGGGUAGGCCGCUCGAACCGGCCGGCGACGGUCCGGUCAGAGGAAUGAGCGCCCCCCGCGGCAACGCGGGGACAGGAUUCGGCUUAUCGCUUCCUCCAGCGC